Molecule: transfer RNA, 67 nt
Filed under: Marmota monax (woodchuck)
Lineage: Eukaryota; Metazoa; Chordata; Mammalia; Rodentia; Sciuridae
Description: tRNA.Ala
Source: RNAcentral
GGUUACGGCUCAGUGGUAGAGCUCUUACCUGGCAUGUGUGAGGCACUGGGUUCGAUUCUCAGCAUCG